Molecule: ribosomal RNA, 1458 nt
Filed under: uncultured prokaryote
Description: partial 16S ribosomal RNA
Rfam family: Bacterial small subunit ribosomal RNA
Source: RNAcentral
AGAGUUUGAUCCUGGCUCAGAACGAACGCUGGCGGCAGGCCUAACACAUGCAAGUCGAACGUGAAGCUGGAGCUUGCUCCAGUGGAAAGUGGCAGACGGGUGAGUAACGCGUGGGAACCUUCCCUGUGGUACGGAAUAACUCAGAGAAAUUUGAGCUAAUACCGUAUACGCCCUUCGGGUGAAAGAUUUAUCGCCAUAGGAUGGGCCCGCGUCGGAUUAGCUUGUUGGUGAGGUAAUGGCUCACCAAGGCCGCGAUCCGUAGCUGGUCUGAGAGGAUGAUCAGCCACACUGGGACUGAGACACGGCCCAGACUCCUACGGGAGGCAGCAGUGGGGAAUAUUGGACAAUGGGCGCAAGCCUGAUCCAGCCAUGCCGCGUGAGUGAAGAAGGCCUUAGGGUUGUAAAGCUCUUUCACUGGGGAAGAUGAUGACGGUAACCACAGAAGAAGCCCCGGCUAACUCCGUGCCAGCAGCCGCGGUAAUACGGAGGGGGCUAGCGUUGUUCGGAAUUACUGGGCGUAAAGGGCGUGUAGGCGGAUUAGCUAGUCAGAGGUGAAAGCCCCGGGCUCAACCCUGGAACUGCCCUCAAAACUGGUUCGCUAGAGUCCGGGAGAGGUGAGUGGAAUUCCCAGUGUAGAGGUGAAAUUCGUAGAUAUUGGGAAGAACACCAGUGGCGAAGGCGGCUCACUGGACCGGUACUGACGCUGAGGCGCGAAAGCGUGGGGAGCAAACAGGGUAUCUCCCCUGGUAGUCCACGCCGUAAACGAUGAGUGCUAGAUGUUGGGGGGCUUGCCCUUCGGUGUCGCAGCUAACGCGUUAAGCACUCCGCCUGGGGAGUACGGCAGCAAGGUUAAAACUCAAAGGAAUUGACGGGGGCCCGCACAAGCGGUGGAGCAUGUGGUUUAAUUCGACGCAACGCGAAGAACCUUACCAGCCCUUGACAUGCUUUGAAUUCACCAGAGAUGGAGAAGUGCCUUUCGAGGAACAUGAAAACAGGUGCUGCACGGCUGUCGUCAGCUCGUGUCGUGAGAUGUUGGGUUAAGUCCCGCAACGAGCGCAACCCUCGUCGUUAGUUGCUAACAGUUCGGCUGAGCACUCUAGCGAGACUGCCUUCGCAAGGAGGAGGAAGGUGAGGACGACGUCAAGUCAUCAUGGCCCUUAUGGCUUGGGCUACACACGUGCUACAAUGGGGCGUACAGAGAGUUGCGAUACCGCGAGGUGGAGCUAAUCUCAUAAAGCGUCUCUCAGUUCGGAUUGAUCUCUGCAACUCGAGAUCAUGAAGCUGGAAUCACUAGUAAUCGUAGAUCAGCAAUGCUACGGUGAAUACGUUCCCGGGUCUUGUACUCACCGCCCGUCACACCAUGGGAGUUGAUUUCACCCGAAAUCGGGAAGCAAACCUUCGGGAUGCUACCGCUUACGGUGGAAUUAGCGACUGGGGUGAAGUCGUAACAAGGUAACC